UAAAAAUUUAUUUAUUUUAGGUAGUAACAGAUUUCUUGAAACCUAAAGAAUUUGGCGGUAUUUUAAAUAAUUAGAGGAACCUGUUUUAUAAUUGAUAAUCCACAACAUAUCUUACCUAAAUUGAGCUUGUAUACCGUUGUUUUCAGAUGAUAUUUUAAAAUUAUAAUCAGAAUUAAAUAAUUUUUAUAAAUCAAAUCAAGGUGCAGCAUAUUUAGGUUUUAAUGGGUUACAAUAUAUUUAUAUAUUUACAGAUUAAUAAUGAAAAUAUUUUUGAAGGUGGAUUUAAAAGUAAUUUAAAAUUAAAAUGUUUAAGUGAAUAAAAAUUUAAAAUAUGC
RNAcentral lists this ribosomal RNA (335 nucleotides) under Brachistosternus pentheri. RNAcentral's name for it is "partial 12S small subunit ribosomal RNA". The record is from RNAcentral. Lineage: Eukaryota; Metazoa; Arthropoda; Arachnida; Scorpiones; Bothriuridae.